Molecule: ribosomal RNA, 518 nt
Filed under: uncultured bacterium
Lineage: Bacteria
Description: bacterial SSU rRNA
Rfam family: Bacterial small subunit ribosomal RNA
Source: RNAcentral
AGAACUUAGCAGAGAUGCUUUGGUGCCUUCGGGGAACUCUGAGACAGGUGCUGCAUGGCUGUCGUCAGCUCGUGUUGUGAAAUGUUGGGUUAAGUCCCGCAACGAGCGCAACCCUUAUCCUUUGUUGCCAGCGGCUCGGCCGGGAACUCAAAGGAGACUGCCGGUGAUAAACCGGAGGAAGGUGGGGAUGACGUCAAGUCAUCAUGGCCCUUACGGCCAGGGCUACACACGUGCUGCAAUGGCGCAUACAAAGAGAAGCGACCUCGCGAGAGCAAGCGGACCUCAUAAAGUGCGUCGUAGUCCGGAUUGGAGUCUGCAACUCGACUCCAUGAAGUCGGAAUCGCUAGUAAUCGUAGAUCAGAAUGCUACGGUGAAUACGUUCCCGGGCCUUGUACACACCGCCCGUCACACCAUGGGAGUGGGUUGCAAAAGAAGUAGGUAGCUUAACCUUCGGGAGGGCGCUUACCACUUUGUGAUUCAUGACUGGGGUGAAGUCGUAACAAGGUAAGCGUAGCGAG